CUACGGGGGGCUCCAGUGGGGAAUAUUGCACAAUGGAGGGAACUCUGAUGCAGCAACGCCGCGUGGAGGAUGACGCAUUUCGGUGUGUAAACUCCUUUUAUAUAGGAAGAUAAUGACGGUACUAUAUGAAUAAGCACCGGCUAACUCCGUGCCAGCAGCCGCGGUAAUACGGAGGGUGCAAGCGUUACUCGGAAUCACUGGGCGUAAAGCGCAUGCAGGCGGUUAAAUAAGUUGGAAGUGAAAUCCUAUGGCUCAACCAUAGAACUGCUUCCAAAACUGUUUAACUAGAGUCUGGGAGGGGAAGAUGGAAUUAGUAGUGUAGGGGUAAAAUCCGUAGAGAUUACUAGGAAUACCAAAAGCGAAGGCGAUCUUCUGGAACAGUACUGACGCUGAGAUGCGAAAGCGUGGGGAGCAAACAGGAUUAGAUACCCGUGUAGUC
RNAcentral lists this ribosomal RNA (439 nucleotides) under uncultured bacterium. Its description in RNAcentral is "partial 16S ribosomal RNA". It matches the Rfam family "Bacterial small subunit ribosomal RNA", at positions 339 to 795 of the family's 1533-position model. The record is from RNAcentral.